Molecule: ribosomal RNA, 253 nt
Filed under: uncultured bacterium
Lineage: Bacteria
Description: partial 16S ribosomal RNA
Rfam family: Bacterial small subunit ribosomal RNA
Source: RNAcentral
UACGAAGGGGGCUAGCGUUGCUCGGAAUCACUGGGCGUAAAGCGCGCGUAGGCGGAUUGUUAAGUCAGGGGUGAAAUCCUGGAGCUCAACUCCAGAACUGCCUUUGAUACUGGCGAUCUUGAGUCCGGGAGAGGUGAGUGGAACUGCGAGUGUAGAGGUGAAAUUCGUAGAUAUUCGGAAGAACACCAGUGGCGAAGGCGGCUCACUGGCCCGGUACUGACGCUGAGGUGCGAAAGCGUGGGGAGCAAACAGG